GGCUUCUAACCAGCCGCCGUGAACCGGCGGUGGGACAAUGCCAGACGGGGAGUUUGACUGGGGCGGUCGCCUCCGAAAGGGUAUCGGAGGCGCCCAAAGGUUCCCUCAGAAUGGACGGAAACCAUUCGAAGAGUGCAAAGGCAGAAGGGAGCUUGACUGCGACACCGACGGGUGGAGCAGGUACGAAAGUAGGGCUUAGUGAUCCGGUGGUAUUAAGUGGGAAUGCCAUCGCUCAACGGAUAAAAGCUACCCUGGGGAUAACAGGCUUAUCACUCCCAAGAGUUCACAUCGACGGAGUGGUUUGGCACCUCGAUGUCGGCUCAUCGCAUCCUGGGGCUGUAGUAGGUCCCAAGGGUUGGGCUGUUCGCCCAUUAAAGCGGUACGCGAGCUGGGUUCAGAACGUCGUGAGACAGUUCGGUCCCUAUCCGGCGUGGGCGUAGGAUAUCUGAGAGGAGCUGUCCUUAGUACGAGAGGACCGGGAUGGACGGACCGCUGGUGUACCGGUUAGACUGCCAAGUCUACGGCCGGGUAGCCAAGUCCGGAAGGGAUAAACGCUGAAGGCAUCUAAGCGUGAAGCCCCCCUCAAGAUGAGAUGUCCCAUUCGAAAGAAGUAAACCCCCUUGAAGACGACGAGGUAGAUAGGGCAGGGGUGGAAGUG
This 658-nucleotide ribosomal RNA is filed under the name Ruminococcus sp. AM42-11. RNAcentral's name for it is "Bacterial large subunit ribosomal RNA". It matches the Rfam family "Bacterial large subunit ribosomal RNA", at positions 2217 to 2875 of the family's 2925-position model. The record is from Rfam by way of RNAcentral. Lineage: Bacteria; Bacillati; Bacillota; Clostridia; Eubacteriales; Oscillospiraceae.